UACCUCUAGGGUUCAGUAAUUGGCCUCUAAUUCUGAGAAAUAGCCAUUUGGGAGGGAGAACAAAGAGGAUGAAGAGAUCAGAGAUGGUGAGAAGCUGGCCUUCUGUCUUGGUAUAGAAAAAGGAAGAAAUAUGUGGCCCAUGGUAAAGCUCAGUGAGUCCUGUGUAGGGGUUGAGUGGAAUCGGUGAAGAGAUAGCUUAGACCUGAUACUUCCACAUACAGAAUAAGGAGAUUGGAGCAACUCAGAAGUAUCUGUACUUCCUUGCUUGUUAUGGUUCCUGGAAAUCAGUUUAUAUCAUUACUUUCUUUAUUCCAAAAGACAGGUUUUCAUCUUGGCACAUUUGUUUCCUGACAGCUCAUGGCUUUUAUGCUUUUAGUCCAGAAGAAAAACCUCCUAAGGAAAAAGAGAAAGACAAGAAUUGUGUACUCCACUCAGAGUAAUCUCCUCCAUUCUUUGGAUCCCUAUAGUGCGGUUUGUGUCUGACACUGAUAUCUAGGUGAGAGAAUUGCUACUAGUUGAGACUUCAUCAACUCAAUCUUUUGACUAGUAUUACUCUUACUACCAUUUCCUGACAGUGAUUCUUUAGAUUUCUGAGUCCAUAGAUGUGGUUAGCUGGAAGUUCUCUUUUAUUUCUUUCGUUUUUCUUUUAAUUUUUAACAAAAUGUAUUGGUUUUUUAAUUGGAUAUUUCUUUUUUCUUUUUCUCUCUUUUUUGGUUCUUUUUUUCAGAGUUGGGGACUGAACCCAGGGCCUUGCGCUUCCUAGGCCAGCGCUCUACCUCUGAGCUAAAUCACAAACCCCUAAUUGCAUAAUUCUUUAUUUACAUUUCAAAUGUUAUUUCCUUUCCCGCUUUUCUGUCCAUAAGAUCCGUAACUGGUUCUCCUAAACUUCUCUAAUUCCCCUUACUGUCCCUUGACAUUCCCUUGAACUAUCAGUCAAAACUAGACAGGACCAAGGGCUUCUCCUUCCAUUGGUGCCCAACAAGGCCAUCUUUUGCUACAUAUGCAUUUGGAGUCAUAGGUCUGUCCAGGAACAUCCUAUCAUUAUUGUUUUAGUACCAGAGAACUCUGAUUCACUGGCAUUGUUUUUCUUAUGGGGUUGAAUGCACCAUCAGCUCUUUUAAUCCUUUCUCAAAUCUACCAACAAAAGGUCCAUUUUCAGUUCACUGGUUUCCCACUAGCAUUCACUUCUGUAUUUGACAUGCUCUAGCUGUGUGUGCCAGCAAAAAUCUAUAUCUGGUUUCUGAUAGCAUGCACUACUUCUUAGCUUCAUCAAUCUUAUCUUGUUUUGUGGUGCAAAUAUAUUCUCUUGUACUGCUCUGACUAUCAUUCCCUGACAAUGACCCUUUAGAUUUCUGAGUCGAUAGAUAUGGUUAGCUGGCAGGUUUCUAUUCAAGUAUAUUAUCAUAGGCUAGCUAUGGAAGAGGCUUUGAUGAGGGACAAGCUCAACUACACACCUCCUCCAGCCCAGGUAAGGAUAUUUUUGUACUUCAGUCAAAUGAGGCCAACAUUCUGUUCUGCCUACUGUGCUGAUGCCUUUGCUGAAAAAUCAGAAGUUAAUAGCCCUGUGUUGGAAGCUGGACAGUCAAUGACAGGCUAUGGUAUUGUGAAGCCAAGAUACACCAUGUGCAGCUGUGAAUAUGCCUGGGAAGGCUGACACUUUGGAUUUAUGAAGCAUUGCUAAGGGAUCCUGAGGCAAUCAGCACCUCCUGCUCAUCAGAGCUCUGGGAAUACUGACAGUCUUGCUUCAUCUCUAUAUGAAGCUAGGUCAAAAGAUCACCUGUCAGGGUCUGUUGGGAAGGCAUCAUCCCAAACGUCCACCAUCAGUGAGCAAGUACAACAGAUUAGGAAGUUGGAGAAAUUGACUAAUGACGUCCAGAAGAUGACCUGUGAGUUGGGUAAACUCCCAGGAAUGCUGACUCAUUGCACCAACAGCAUUUGGACAAAAGAAAGCCAUUAUGCCCACGUCUUUGUUGACUGUCCUGACCCCUCUGUGUUAACCUCAGUUUUCUCACACCACAGGAGAAUGCAACUGUAAUGUCCUCAUGUACAAACUAAUUUUCUUAUGUGCCUCUCAGAGGCAGAACAUGAAGAAAGGAUAGGAGUGUGUUAGGAAACUAUUUAAUUUCUCAGAAAAGCAUAAUCUGUGUUUUGAAUAGCAGUCUUGGGAUACGACAAGUAAUAUGUGAGCUCUUAUCAUGGAUUUUAAUAGACAGAGAACACAUUUUCUGUACUCAGAGGAAUACAAAAACUUGUCAGCUACAGAAGGACAGUAACUUAAUCUUAGAGAAGUAAACAAUUAUUUAUUUACUUUAAAGCUUUAUUUUAUUUGAUUUGUAUGAUUAUUCUGUAACUGUCAGACACAACAAAGUGGGCAUCAGAUUCCAUUAUACAUGUUUAUAUGCCACGAUGUUUUUGCUGGGAAUUAAACUCAUGACCUAUGGAAAAGCAGUCAGAGCUCUUAAAUGCUGAAUCAUCUUACCAGCCUACAUUACUUUUGAUGGUGAUGGUAUUGAUGAUGUUGAUGGUAUUGAUGAUGAUG
Non-coding RNA from Rattus norvegicus (Norway rat), 2539 nucleotides. The record is from RefSeq and is a predicted model, not a curated record. NCBI's taxonomy places the organism in Eukaryota, Metazoa, Chordata, Mammalia, Rodentia, Muridae.